UUGUUUGAAUUGUGUGUUUCGCGCGCCUGCAACAGUUGUUGAUUGUCCGCGUGCUAGUCGAACUGCAACAACAACAGCAACAACAGCAACAAUAAGUGCUUCAAUUUGAGGCAAUUUGCGGCAUUGACAACAACAAUAAGUGCAACUGCAACUGCCAGCAGCAGCAGCAGCCACAGCAACAACAACAGCAACUGCAACAAUAGCAACAGCAGCAACAGCAACAGCAGCAACAGCAACUGCUUUCGAAAGUCGCAUCGAGCACAUCCUGUUGUUCGGCAUUGCAUCAAAAUUGGAAUUGCUCAGCUCUUGGAAUUGGUCCAAGGCGUAGGUAAGGGCAGCGACAGCGACAACAGCCAAGAGCGCGCACAUGACAGC
Drosophila navojoa is the source of this 375-nucleotide long non-coding RNA. NCBI's taxonomy places the organism in Eukaryota, Metazoa, Arthropoda, Insecta, Diptera, Drosophilidae. The record is from RefSeq and is a predicted model, not a curated record.